RNAcentral lists this ribosomal RNA (491 nucleotides) under uncultured bacterium. RNAcentral's name for it is "partial 16S ribosomal RNA". It matches the Rfam family "Bacterial small subunit ribosomal RNA", at positions 28 to 503 of the family's 1533-position model. The record is from RNAcentral.
GACGAACGCUGGCGGCGUGCCUAAUACAUGCAAGUAGAACGCUGAAGGAGGAGCUUGCUUCUCUGGAUGAGUUGCGAACGGGUGAGUAACGCGUAGGUAACCUGCCUGGUAGCGGGGGAUAACUAUUGGAAACGAUAGCUAAUACCGCAUAAGAGUAGAUGUUGCAUGACAUUUGCUUAAAAGGUGCAAUUGCAUCACUACCAGAUGGACCUGCGUUGUAUUAGCUAGUUGGUGGGGUAACGGAUUACCAAGGCGACGAUACAUAGCCGACCUGAGAGGGGGAUCGGCCACACUGGGACUGAGACACGGCCCAGACUCCUACGGGAGGCAGCAGUAGGGAAUCUUCGGCAAUGGACGGAAGUCUGACCGAGCAACGCCGCGUGAGUGAAGAAGGUUUGCGGAUCGUAAAGCUCUGUUGUAAGAGAAGAACGAGUGUGAGAGUGGAAAGUUCACACUGUGACGGUAUCGUACCAGAAAGGGACGGCUAACUA